This 497-nucleotide ribosomal RNA is filed under the name uncultured bacterium. RNAcentral's name for it is "partial 16S ribosomal RNA". It matches the Rfam family "Bacterial small subunit ribosomal RNA", at positions 28 to 507 of the family's 1533-position model. The record is from RNAcentral.
GAUGAACGCUGGCGGCGUGCCUAAUACAUGCAAGUCGAGCGAACAGAUAAGGAGCUUGCUCCUUUGACGUUAGCGGCGGACGGGUGAGUAACACGUGGAUAACCUACCUAUAAGACUGGGAUAACUUCGGGAAACCGGAGCUAAUACCGGAUAACAUAUUGAACCGCAUGGUUCAAUAGUGAAAGGCGGCUUUGCUGUCACUUAUAGAUGGAUCCGCGCCGUAUUAGCUAGUUGGUAAGGUAACGGCUUACCAAGGCAACGAUACGUAGCCGACCUGAGAGGGUGAUCGGCCACACUGGAACUGAGACACGGUCCAGACUCCUACGGGAGGCAGCAGUAGGGAAUCUUCCGCAAUGGGCGAAAGCCUGACGGAGCAACGCCGCGUGAGAGAUGAAGGUCUUCGGAUCGUAAAACUCUGUUAUCAGGGAAGAACAAAUGUGUAAGUAACUGUGCACAUCUUGACGGUACCUGAUCAGAAAGCCACGGCUAACUACGUG